CUUGCUCCGCUGACGAGUGGCGAACGGGUGAGUAAUGCAUCGGAACGUGCCCAGUCGUGGGGAUAACGUAGCGAAAGUUACGCUAAUACCGCAUUACGUCCUGAGGGAGAAAAGCGGGGGGACCGUAAGGCCUCGCGCGAUUGGAGCGGCCGAUGUCGGAUUAGCUAGUUGGUGGGUAAAGGCCUACCAAGGCGACGAUCCGUAGCGGGUCUGAGAGGAUGAUCCGCCACACUGGGACUGAGACACGGCCCAGACUCCUACGGGAGGCAGCAGUGGGGAAUUUUGGACAAUGGGGGCAACCCUGAUCCAGCCAUGCCGCGUGAGUGAAGAAGGCCUUCGGGUUGUAAAGCUCUUUCAGACGGAAAGAAAACGCAUCGGUGAAUACCCGGUGUGGAUGACGGUACCGUAAGAAGAAGCACCGGCUAACUACGUG
This 433-nucleotide ribosomal RNA is filed under the name uncultured bacterium. RNAcentral describes it as "bacterial SSU rRNA". It matches the Rfam family "Bacterial small subunit ribosomal RNA", at positions 79 to 507 of the family's 1533-position model. The record is from RNAcentral.